CGAGGACGAACGCUGGCGGCGUGCCUAACACAUGCAAGUCGAACGGGGUUAUACCGAUUAAUCUUCGGAAGCGUUGAUAUAACUUAGUGGCGGACGGGUGAGUAACACGUGAGCAACCUGCCUUUCAGAGGGGGAUACCGUUUGGAAACGAACGUUAAUACCGCAUAACGUAUCGGUACCGCAUGAUACUGAUACCAAAGGAGCGAUCCGCUGAAAGAUGGGCUCGCGGCUGAUUAGAUAGUUGGUGGGGUAACGGCCUACCAAGUCAACGAUCAGUAGCCGGACUGAGAGGUUGAACGGCCACAUUGGGACUGAGACACGGCCCAGACUCCUACGGGAGGCAGCAGUGGGGAGUAUUGCGCAAUGGGGGCAACCCUGACGCCAGCAACGCCGCGUGUGGGAAGAAGGUCUUCGGAUUGUAAACCAUUGUCUUCGGUGACGAUAAUGACGGUAGCCGAGGAGGAAGCUCCGGCUAACUACGUGCCAGCAGCCGC
This 494-nucleotide ribosomal RNA is filed under the name uncultured bacterium. RNAcentral describes it as "bacterial SSU rRNA". It matches the Rfam family "Bacterial small subunit ribosomal RNA", at positions 26 to 518 of the family's 1533-position model. The record is from RNAcentral.